GAGUUUGAUCAUGGCUCAGAUUGAACGCUGGCGGUAGGCUUAACACAUGCAAGUCGAACGAUAGCAGGAAGAAAGCUUGCUUUUUUUGCUGACGAGUGGCGGACGGGUGAGUAAUGCUUGGGAAUCUGGCUUAUGGAGGGGGAUAACUGUGGGAAACUGCAGCUAAUACCGCGUAUAAUCGAGAGAUGAAAGGGUGGGACCGUAAGGCCACUUGCCAUAAGAUGAGCCCAAGUGGGAUUAGGUAGUUGGUGGGGUAAAGGCCUACCAAGCCUGCGAUCUCUAGCUGGUCUGAGAGGAUGGCCAGCCACACUGGGACUGAGACACGGCCCAGACUCCUACGGGAGGCAGCAGUGGGGAAUAUUGCGCAAUGGGGGGAACCCUGACGCAGCCAUGCCGCGUGAAUGAAGAAGGCCUUCGGGUUGUAAAGUUCUUUCGGUGAUGAGGAAGGGGUAUUAUUGAAUAGAUAAUAUCA
This 472-nucleotide ribosomal RNA is filed under the name Pasteurella canis. Its description in RNAcentral is "bacterial SSU rRNA". It matches the Rfam family "Bacterial small subunit ribosomal RNA", at positions 9 to 474 of the family's 1533-position model. Lineage: Bacteria; Pseudomonadati; Pseudomonadota; Gammaproteobacteria; Pasteurellales; Pasteurellaceae. The record is from RNAcentral.